Molecule: non-coding RNA, 69 nt
Organism: Rattus norvegicus (Norway rat)
Lineage: Eukaryota; Metazoa; Chordata; Mammalia; Rodentia; Muridae
Source: Rfam
GGGGAUUUAGCUCAGCGGUAGAGCACUUGCCUAGGAAGCGCAAGGCCCUGGGUUCGGUCCCCAGCUCCG